This 253-nucleotide ribosomal RNA is filed under the name uncultured bacterium. RNAcentral describes it as "partial 16S ribosomal RNA". It matches the Rfam family "Bacterial small subunit ribosomal RNA", at positions 524 to 776 of the family's 1533-position model. The record is from RNAcentral.
UACGAAGGGGGCUAGCGUUGCUCGGAAUCACUGGGCGUAAAGGGCGCGUAGGCGGCAAUUCAAGUCAUCUGUGAAAUCUCCGGGCUUAACUCGGAACGGUCAGGUGAUACUGCUUUGCUAGAGUGCAGAAGGGGCAAUCGGAAUUCUUGGUGUAGCGGUGAAAUGCGUAGAUAUCAAGAGGAACACCUGAGGUGAAGACGGGUUGCUGGGCUGACACUGACGCUGAGGCGCGAAAGCUAGGGGAGCAAACGGG